Molecule: ribosomal RNA, 482 nt
Filed under: uncultured bacterium
Lineage: Bacteria
Description: SSU rRNA
Rfam family: Bacterial small subunit ribosomal RNA
Source: RNAcentral
AGGACGAACGCUGGCGGCGUGCUUAACACAUGCAAGUCGAGCGAGGUCCAACCAGUGGCAACACUGGGGAAGACCUAGCGGCGAACGGGUGAGUAACACGUGAGGAACCUGCCCCAAAGACCGGGAUAACCCUCCGAAAGGAGAGCUAAUACCGGAUGCCCCCAUCGGAUCGCAUGGUCUGAUGAGGAAAUGGAUUCCGCUUUGGGAGGGCCUCGCGGCCUAUCAGCUUGUUGGUGAGGUAACGGCUCACCAAGGCAUCGACGGGUAGCUAGUCUGAGAGGACGAUUAGCCACACUGGGACUGAGACACGGCCCAGACUCCUACGGGAGGCAGCAGUGGGGAAUCUUGCGCAAUGGGCGAAAGCCUGACGCAGCAACGCCGCGUGGGGGAUGAAGGCUUUCGGGUUGUAAACCCCUUUCAGCAGGGACGAUUAUGACGGUACCUGCAGAAGAAGGACCGGCCAACUACGUGCCAGCAGCCGC